GACCAUGUUGUUGAAGUUGUUGAAGAGACUUUGAAAGGUCAUAAGGUGUGGCUCUUACAUUGCAAAACACUGCCAGCUCUUGAACUUCCGAAGGUGCUAGCACUUAUUGCAAGACAAAGCAUGCUCGAGGCCAUUUAGCUAGCUACACUGUUGACAGUCCUGUCAGUUGUGUGAGAACUGUAAUAACUGAUGGAGUUGAGGAGAUAUGGUUGGGCAGCGAAGAUACUGGAGCAUAUGGUCGUGACAUUGGGGUUAACCUUCCAAUUGUAUUGAAUGCUCUUGUUGCAGCAUUUCCUCCUGAUGGAAGUGCAAUGCUUCGAAUAGGAAUGACCAAUCCUCCUUUUAUUCUUGAGCACUUGAAAGAAAUAGCCGAAGUUUUGCGUCACCCAUGUGUAUACUCCUUUCUUGAUGUACCAGUCCAAUCUGGGAGUGAGGCUGUCUUGACGGCAAUGAAUCGGGAAUAUACUGUUAGUGACUUCAGGACAGUGGUAGGUACCUUGACCGCACUUGUGGCAGGGAUGCAGAUUGCAACUGAUAUAAUUUGUGGAUUCUCUGGUUAGUAUUUCUUCAUCAUUGUCCCUUCUUUUGUGUGUGUUGAAAUUCUUUGACUUGUAAAUGUUGAAGUGAAAUAAACAGGGUGUUGACUCCUUUUAAAUGGUAAAUUGUUUAUCUACUUUGUGCAAUGACCGGCUGUGUCUCAUUUUAAUUCCCAUAUUGUAUCUCUGUGUGGCACUAGCAAUAUUUACUGUCAGGGGAGCAUCAAUUAUAAAACAUCUCUGCCUUACUGACUCCUUUGGUAUUGGAAUUAUUAAUGUAUGAUUCAAAAUUUUGGGAACUGGUGCAAGACGUUUUGGAAUUAUUUAUUUAUUCUUCUUUGUA
Molecule: long non-coding RNA, 879 nt
Organism: Pistacia vera
Lineage: Eukaryota; Viridiplantae; Streptophyta; Magnoliopsida; Sapindales; Anacardiaceae
Exons: 5
Source: RefSeq, a predicted model, not a curated record